RNAcentral lists this ribosomal RNA (432 nucleotides) under uncultured bacterium. RNAcentral's name for it is "partial 16S ribosomal RNA". It matches the Rfam family "Bacterial small subunit ribosomal RNA", at positions 29 to 507 of the family's 1533-position model. The record is from RNAcentral.
AACGAACGCUGGCGGCAUGCCUAACACAUGCAAGUCGAACGAGACCUUCGGGUCUAGUGGCGCACGGGUGCGUAACGCGUGGGAACCUGCCCUUAGGUUCGGAAUAACUCCCCGAAAGGGGUGCAAUACCGGAUAAUGUCUUCGGACCAAAGAUUUAUCGCCUUUGGAUGGGCCCGCGUUGGAUUAGCUAGUUGGUAGGGUAAAAGCCUACCAAGGCGACGAUCCAUAGCUGGUCUGAGAGGAUGAUCAGCCACACUGGGACUGAGACACGGCCCAGACUCCUACGGGAGGCAGCAGUGGGGAAUAUUGGACAAUGGGCGAAAGCCUGAUCCAGCAAUGCCGCGUGAGUGAUGAAGGCCUUAGGGUUGUAAAGCUCUUUUACCCGGGAUGAUAAUGACAGUACCGGGAGAAUAAACUCCGGCUAACUCCGUG